GAGUUUGAUCGUGGCUCAGAUUGAACGCUGGCGGCAGGCCUAACACAUGCAAGUCGAGCGGAUGAAGGGAGCUUGCUCCUGGAUUCAGCGGCGGACGGGUGAGUAAUGCCUAGGAAUCUGCCUGGUAGUGGGGGAUAACGUCCGGAAACGGGCGCUAAUACCGCAUACGUCCUGAGGGAGAAAGUGGGGGAUCUUCGGACCUCACGCUAUCAGAUGAGCCUAGGUCGGAUUAGCUAGUUGGUGGGGUAAAGGCCUACCAAGGCGACGAUCCGUAACUGGUCUGAGAGGAUGAUCAGUCACACUGGAACUGAGACACGGUCCAGACUCCUACGGGAGGCAGCAGUGGGGAAUAUUGGACGAUGGGCGAAAGCCUGAUCCAGCCAUGCCGCGUGUGUGAAGAAGGUCUUCGGAUUGUAAAGCACUUUAAGUUGGGAGGAAGGGCAGUAAGUUAAUACCUUGCUGUUUUGACGUUACCAACAGAAUAAGCACCGGCUAACUUCGUGCCAGCAGCCGCCGU
RNAcentral lists this ribosomal RNA (517 nucleotides) under uncultured microorganism. Its description in RNAcentral is "bacterial SSU rRNA". It matches the Rfam family "Bacterial small subunit ribosomal RNA", at positions 9 to 521 of the family's 1533-position model. The record is from RNAcentral.